CUUAAAAUUUUUUUUUUUUUUUUUUUUUUUUUUUUGAGACAGAAUCUCGCUCUGUCGCCCAGGCUGGAAUGCAGUGGCGCGAUCUCUGCUCACUACAAGCUCCGCCUCCCGGGUUCACGCCAUUCUCCUGCCUCAGCGCCCCCAUGCUGGGAUUACAGGCGUGAGCCACCGCGCCCGGCCUUAAAAAUUGAAUCUGUAGCUUAGGCCAUCCAAAUUUUAUAAAUCCAAAUUAACUUUAGAAUGUUUCUAUUACUUUCACUUUUACAUAUAUAAAUUUUAAGUGUCCUGAUUGGCUGAACAAUAUCUCACAUCAAAUGCUUUGCCUGGAAAUAGAUAUCCCACUGGGGAUAGUGGUGUGUAAACUAUGACUUGGACAAUUCUAUAUACUCAAGCACCAUAAAAAGUAUGCAGUUGAAAAGAAAAUCAAAGUUGAUUCCUGGGUGCCAACUAAAUAUUCAAAUCAGGUACUCAUCCUUAUCAGCUAAAUUCAUUUUCACCAGGAACAGACCACCAAAUAAAUUAUUUUAUCCUAAUAACUAGUUUUGAAGCAGUGUAAUUACUCUGGAAGAAGGCUCUAAAAAGUCAUGAUUCCCCCACUAUUUUGAAAUGUAUCCUCUAACAAGGAUCAUUAUAGUGUAAUCUUAAUUUUUAUGUUUUAUCAAGAUGAAAUCUUGUUUGAAUUGUGAUAUUAUAAAAGGGGACUCAAAAAUCCAAGCAGUCUACUGUGUUUAAAUUAACACCACAACCUUCCUUAUCAGAUUAUAAGAGUAGAAAAAUUAACACUUGGUGUGUGAAUCUUCAGGAAAAUGAGCUAUUUCAUAAGCUCAAACAAGCAGCUUCCUUUUCCAGAGAAUAUAGAAUUAUAUUAUGGUCUCCUUAAAUGUUUAGUAGCUCUUAUGGUCACAGCAUUUUUAAUCUCCCUAUGGCAUCUUUAUGGAAUAAUUUUCUAAAGGGUAAUUCUCUACUAAAAAUAUCAGACCCCGACCAUAUUUAAUGUGGAGAGCAAUACCCUCUUAGAAAGAAAAUACAUUGACUCAUACACUUGUUAAAAGUUAAUAAAGAAAUAGCUCAUUUUUAAAGCCGGAAGUUUAUGGUCUCUGCAUCGUCAAUUUAAUUUAAGCAUUGCUGAGACAAUCUUUAAUCUACUCCCCUUUUUGUAAUACCUUAUUUAUGGUGCAUUUUCAUUUUUAUUUGGGGGAAACGUUAGCCCAACAGAGCCGGCAGAUGAAAGUGUUGAAAAGAGGUCAAAUGGAAACAAAGGCUCUUACCCGCUGUAUUUCAGACAGGACUGAGGCACUUAGCCGAGGAGCCACUGGGUUAUUAGAUUAAUUUCAAAAGAGCUUUUACAAGUUGCUUAAUUCCUUUUUUUUUUUUUUUUUUUUUCAAAAACCCAUGAACCACAAACUCAAAUUUCUCCUCAAAUGGGGUUAAUCUGACAAACGAGGCAUGGACCCAGCCUUGUGGAAAAAGCAUUCCACGCUAAUGAGAUCUUGGUCUUUCUUGUGAGGCUACGUUAUUUAUGUAAAUAUGUCUGGAGGCACCUUCUCUAAGCUUUUAGUUUUCUAUGAUCUAUUAGUUUAGUGUUUAUUAAAGAAUCAAAUGUAUAGAAUUACCAGGCAUUCGUGGGGAAUGCUGUGUAGCAAAUGUAAAACUGACCUGCUCGGAAGAAACGUAGGAACGCUUCAAACCCACUGUAAUGUUUGGUUUGAGAUUAUUUUCAUUGCUUUGAGAGUGAACUGCCUAAGAGUAGGCCUUAUAAUAAAUGCUAUGUGCGUCUUCAGUAGUUCCAAGCUAAAGCAAUUUGGCAUUCUCCCACUGUGAUUUGUGACUUUUAAACCCACAAAAUAAAAGCUUUUUGGUAUUGAUUGUUUUUAAUUAAAAAUACUUCCAAGUAUAAAUUGAAACGGAUGCCACCCUUGAAGAUUUACUGGCGGGAAUGCUCACUCUUGUCGUUUUCCUCAGUAUCGUUCAUGUCUUUGGCAACAAGAACACCUGAUGAAAGCAAGCAAUGCUCAGUUCCCAUCAACAUUUCUAGUUAGGGGGAUUCUCAUAACCCCACAGUUUACCUGAGAAAGUUUUCUGUGUUAGAAGAAUGGGGUCGAGAGUAUUACCUUUUAGCUCAGUGUGGCCGGGCCUUUUGUUGCAGUCAAAUGGCAAAUACGCACUCCUUGAAAUGGCUUCUUUUAUUUGGUUUUGUUUUCUUAGACUUAUAAAUUUGAAAAGAAUGCAAUUUAAAAAGUGAUUUCUCACAAAGAGUAAAUAUGCCUUUUGCAAAUCAAUUUUUGUAACAAGUUAUUUAUAUGAUAUUACUUAAUAAACUGGUUUUUUUCUA
RNAcentral lists this long non-coding RNA (2332 nucleotides) under Homo sapiens (human). RNAcentral describes it as "non-protein coding lnc-C5orf22-5:1". The record is from RNAcentral. Lineage: Eukaryota; Metazoa; Chordata; Mammalia; Primates; Hominidae.